RNAcentral lists this unclassified non-coding RNA (253 nucleotides) under Pirellulales bacterium. RNAcentral's name for it is "partial 16S ribosomal RNA". It matches the Rfam family "Bacterial small subunit ribosomal RNA", at positions 524 to 776 of the family's 1533-position model. RNAcentral also lists the same sequence under 1 other name. The record is from RNAcentral. Lineage: Bacteria; Pseudomonadati; Planctomycetota; Planctomycetia; Pirellulales.
GACGAACCACACAAACGUUAUUCGGAAUCACUGGGCUUAAAGGGUGCGUAGGCGGUGCGGAAAGUUGGGUGUGAAAUACCUCGGCUCAACCGAGGAAUGGCGCUCAAAACUACCGUGCUCGAGGGAGACAGAGGUAAGCGGAACUUAGGGUGGAGCGGUGAAAUGCGUUGAUAUCCUAAGGAACACCGGUGGCGAAAGCGGCUUACUGGGUCUCUUCUGACGCUGAGGCACGAAAGCCAGGGUAGCGAACGGG